GAUGAACGCUGGCGGCGUGCCUAAUACAUGCAAGUCGAGCGAACGGACGAGAAGCUUGCUUCUCUGAUGUUAGCGGCGGACGGGUGAGUAACACGUGGAUAACCUACCUAUAAGACUGGGAUAACUUCGGGAAACCGGAGCUAAUACCGGAUAAUAUUUUGAACCGCAUGGUUCAAAAGUGAAAGACGGUCUUGCUGUCACUUAUAGAGGGAUCCGGGCUGCAUGAGCUAGUUGGUAAGGUAACGGCUUACCAAGGCAACGAUGCAUAGCCGACCGGAGAGGGUGAUCGGCCACACGGGAACUGAGACACGGUCCUGACUCCUGCGGGAGGCAGCAGUAGGGAAUCUGCCGCAAUGGGCGAAAGCCUGACGGAGCAACGCGGCGUGAGUGAUGAAGGUCUUCGGAGCGUAAAACUCUGUUAUUAGGGAAGAACAUAUGUGUAAGUAACUGUGCACAUCUUGACGGUACCUAAUCAGAAAGCCACGGCUAACUACGUG
This 497-nucleotide ribosomal RNA is filed under the name uncultured bacterium. Its description in RNAcentral is "partial 16S ribosomal RNA". It matches the Rfam family "Bacterial small subunit ribosomal RNA", at positions 28 to 507 of the family's 1533-position model. The record is from RNAcentral.